RNAcentral lists this ribosomal RNA (837 nucleotides) under Gymnoascus verrucosus (nom. illeg.). RNAcentral's name for it is "eukaryotic LSU rRNA". It matches the Rfam family "Eukaryotic large subunit ribosomal RNA", at positions 78 to 918 of the family's 3401-position model. Lineage: Eukaryota; Fungi; Ascomycota; Eurotiomycetes; Onygenales; Gymnoascaceae. The record is from RNAcentral.
CCUCAGCAACGGCGAGUGAAGCAGGCAACAGCUCAGAUUUGAAAUCUGGCCCCCCUUGGGGGUCCGAGUUGUAAUUUGCAGAGGAUGCUUCGGGUGCGGCCGCGGCGUAAGUCCCCUGGAACGGGGCGUCGCAGAGGGUGAGAAUCCCGUCUUGAGUCGCUGGUACCGCGCCCGUGUGAAGCUCCUUCGACGAGUCGAGUUGUUUGGGAAUGCAGCUCUAAAUGGGUGGUAAAUUUCAUCUAAAGCUAAAUACUGGCUGGAGACCGAUAGCGCACAAGUAGAGUGAUCGAAAGGUUAAAAGCACCUUGAAAAGGGAGUUAAAUAGCACGUGAAAUUGUUGAAAGGGAAGCGCUUGCGACCAGACUCGGCCGCGGAGGCUCAGCGGGCACUCGUGCCCGUGUACUCCCCCGCGGCCGGGCCAGCGUCAGCUCUGGCGGCCGGUCAAAGGCCCCUGGCAAUGUGUCGCCCCUCGGGACGUCUUAUAGCCAGGUGUGCAAUGCGGCCCGCCGGGACUGAGGAACGCGCUUCGGCACGGACGCUGGCAUAAUGGUCGUAAGCGGCCCGUCUUGAAACACGGACCUAGGAGUCUAUCAUCCACGCGAGUGUUCGGGUGUCAAACCCGUGCGCGCAAUGAAAGCGAACGGAGGUGAAAAUCCGCCUUGCGGGGCGCAUCAUCGACCGAUUCUGAAGUCUUCGGAUGGAUUUAAUUAAAACCCUGACUUGUUGGGGACCCGAAAGAUGGUCAACUAUGCCUGAAUAGGGCCGAACCCCGAGAAACUUUGGUGGGAGGCCUCCCAGGCGUUUCCUGAGUGCAAAUCCAUCGUCAAAUUUUGGUUU